This is a long non-coding RNA of Salvia miltiorrhiza (redroot sage), 1130 nucleotides long. RefSeq lists it as uncharacterized. The transcript is spliced from 5 exons. Lineage: Eukaryota; Viridiplantae; Streptophyta; Magnoliopsida; Lamiales; Lamiaceae. The record is from RefSeq and is a predicted model, not a curated record.
GUAUGUCUUUUUAAUUAAGAAUAAGCUAAUCACUCAUCUUAACUACACAUGUAUUUACUGUAAUUGGCUAUCUAUGAGUAGAACUAGGAAGACUCUAAUCCUUAGUAAUUAAUAUAAGUUAUGCUUAUCGCGCAUUUACUUCUUAGCAUGAACUUGUUAGAGAAUGACUCUGAUGCUGAGGCAAGCCACGAAAUUAUGGCUAUGAACUAUGCAGGUACCACUUCACCAUUGUUAGAAAUGUUAUUUUUUCCAAUUGAGUAUUUGUAAUAAUUUUUAUUCAUCAUAACACAUUUAAGAAGACAAUCUAUGGUAUCAUUUUGGCAAUACUGUUCUGAAGAGUAUCUUUCUUGAUCUGUUUUGUUAGUAAUUUAGUAUUCUAUUUUGUAGUUGGCAGUUGGGCUGGAUAUUUGCUAGUUUGACAUAACUUGGAUUGAGAAGCAGUCCCAGUCACUCAGGCGCGUACGUCACCAAAUUCGUCAAUUUAGACUGGAGAUCAUACAUUAGAUUUCUGAAUUGGGUACCAGAUGCAUUGAAGAUGCCUGAGCCGGAGUUUAUUGAUCAUGCAGGGCUGGAUUCAGCUGUCUAUCUGCGGAUUUAUUUGCUUGGACUUAAGAUUUUUGUUCCGGUGACACUGCUUGCAUGGGCCAUCCUAGUGCCUGUCAACUGGACGAAUAACACCUUGGCAGUAUUAUCUCAAGGAGAUGAUAAGCUAACAUAUAGUGAGAUUGACAAGCUCUCAAUUUCAAAUGUUCCAUAUGGAUCACCCAGUAAUGGCCUAUGUCUUUACUUUCUGGACGUGCUAUGCAUUGAUGAAGGAGUAUGAAAUAAUUGCUACAAUGCGCUUACACUUUCUUGCUUCAGAAAAGAGUCGCCCUGAUCAAUUAACGGCACGGGCUUUUUGUUCAAGAUCGAUCUUGAACCGGGCAGCGCUGAAGAGUAAAGAAGAGUUUGGAACAGAAGGUUUCCAGAUAAGUCCAUGAAGAAGAUGUUGUUAUUCUUGUCCCUGGUGAUGUAGUUAGUAUAAAAUUGGUGGAAGAAUUGUUAGACAAAAAUUUCUGUGAUAUUUAUUAUAUUUGGAUGAUAAUGUAUGAAUAUUUUGGAUGUUAUAUAAUAUAUGUUAUCGAUGGCAA